UGUAUUCCAAGAGGGCUAUAAUUUUUAUUUCUUUGUGAAUUGUGAUCUGAAUACGGUUAAUGUGUUUACUAUAUAUAACAAACAUACUAAUAAUACGCCACCAUUCACAUAUGUAGCCCUUAAAUCAAAUAGUUGUAGAUUUUUUUUUUUUUUUUUGUGAACCAGUUGUAGUUGUUUAAGGUUAAUUAAUAAUUAUUGAAAGGAAGAAGAAAAAAAAAUGAAGAAGAACAUUGUGUGUGGUACGUAUAAAUAUCUGAUGUAAUUAAUCCCCAAGUCCUUUAGAGUGAUGUCCACACUAGGACUUGACUUGUAACAUGGAUGCAAUUUAUAUGCUAAAAC
RNAcentral lists this long non-coding RNA (339 nucleotides) under Capsella rubella. Its description in RNAcentral is "long non-coding RNA (CRUB_LNC003367)". The record is from RNAcentral. Lineage: Eukaryota; Viridiplantae; Streptophyta; Magnoliopsida; Brassicales; Brassicaceae.